This 394-nucleotide long non-coding RNA is filed under the name Physcomitrium patens. Its description in RNAcentral is "long non-coding RNA (PPAT_LNC008251)". Lineage: Eukaryota; Viridiplantae; Streptophyta; Bryopsida; Funariales; Funariaceae. The record is from RNAcentral.
UUGAUUAGGAUUUGGUUAUGAUUUGGUUAGAAUUUGAUUAGGAUGUGAUUAGAAUUUAACUAGGAUUUGAUUAGGAUUUUAUUUGGAUUUGAUUAGGUUUUGGUUAGGAUUUGACCAGGAUUUGGUUAGGAUUUGGUUAGAAUUUGAUUAGGCUUUGUUUAGGAUUUGAUAAGGAUUAGAUAAGGAUUUAUUUAGGAUUUGAUUAGAUUUUAUUAAGGUUUGUUUAAGGUUUGAUUAGGAUUUGGUGUCAAGGACGGGAACUCGAUAAAAAAGAAAUUCAGAUAAGUAAGCCUUCACUCAAAGAAAGGUAACAAAAUAUAAAUAAACAAGUAUGUAUAUUGAAAGAAAAACUGGAAUGGCUAUUGCCAAAAGACAAGAAAACUAAAGACCCUUG